RNAcentral lists this ribosomal RNA (450 nucleotides) under uncultured Glomus. RNAcentral describes it as "SSU rRNA". It matches the Rfam family "Eukaryotic small subunit ribosomal RNA", at positions 569 to 1025 of the family's 1831-position model. The record is from RNAcentral. Lineage: Eukaryota; Fungi; Glomeromycota; Glomeromycetes; Glomerales; Glomeraceae.
AGCAGCCGCGGUAAUUCCAGCUCCAAUAGCGUAUAUUAAAGUUGUUGCAGUUAAAAAGCUCGUAGUUGAAUUUCGGGAUCAAUAUGUUGGUCGUGCCUUGGUACGUACUGGCAUUAUUGAUUCCUACCUUCUGAAGAACCUCGAUGUCAUUAAUUUGGUGUCUUGGGGAAUCAGGACCGUUACUUUGAAAAAUUAGAGUGUUUAAAGCAGGCUCGCGCUUGAAUACAUUAGCAUGGAAUAAUGAAAUAGGACGUUUGAUUCUAUUUUGUUGGUUUCUAGGAUCGACGUAAUGAUUAAUAGGGAUAGUUGGGGGCAUUAGUAUUCAAUUGUCAGAGGUGAAAUUCUUGGAUUUAUUGAAGACUGACUACUGCGAAAGCAUUUGCCAAGGAUGUUUUCAUUAAUCAAGAACGAAAGUUAGGGGAUCGAAGACGAUCAGAUACCGUCGUAGUC